GACGAACGCUGGCGGCGUGCCUAAUACAUGCAAGUAGGACGCACAGUCUAUACCGUAGCUUGCUACACCAUAGGCUGUGAGUUGCGAACGGGUGAGUAACGCGUAGGUAACCUGCCUAUUAGAGGGGGAUAACUAUUGGAAACGAUAGUUAAUACCGCAUAGCAGUAUGUAACACAUGUUAGAUGCUUGAAAGAUGCAAUUGCAUCGCUAGUAGAUGGACCUGCGUUGUAUUAGCUAGUAGGUAGGGUAAUGGCCUACCUAGGCGACGAUACAUAGCCGACCUGAGAGGGUGAUCGGCCACACUGGGACUGAGACACGGCCCAGACUCCUACGGGAGGCAGCAGUAGGGAAUCUUCGGCAAUGGGGGGAACCCUGACCGAGCAACGCCGCGUGAGUGAAGAAGGUUUUCGGAUCGUAAAGCUCUGUUGUUAAGGAAGAACGAGUGUGAGAAUGGAAAGUUCAUACUGUGACGGUACUUAACCAGAAAGGGACGGCUAACUACGUG
RNAcentral lists this ribosomal RNA (505 nucleotides) under uncultured bacterium. Its description in RNAcentral is "partial 16S ribosomal RNA". It matches the Rfam family "Bacterial small subunit ribosomal RNA", at positions 28 to 507 of the family's 1533-position model. The record is from RNAcentral.